This 388-nucleotide ribosomal RNA is filed under the name uncultured eukaryote. Its description in RNAcentral is "SSU rRNA". It matches the Rfam family "Eukaryotic small subunit ribosomal RNA", at positions 587 to 972 of the family's 1831-position model. The record is from RNAcentral.
AGCUCCAAUAGCGUAUAUUAAAGUUGUUGCAGUUAAAAAGCUCGUAGUUGGAUUUGUAGCGUUUAAGCGGACCGAGAGGAUGGUUGGACCUUUACGGUAACCGAUUAUGCGCUCUACGUUCGGUUAUUGAUUACUGGCCUUAACUGGCUGGUAGUUGAUUCCGGACCGUUUACCUUGAAUAAAUUAGAGUGUUCAAAGCAGGCUUUUAGCCUUGAAUAGUUUAGCAUGGGAUAAUGGAAUACGAUCCGAGUCCAGUUCGUUGGUAAUCUGGGCUAGGAUAAUGAUUAAUAGGGAUAGUCGGGGUUAUUCAUAUUCAAUUGUUAGAGGUGAAAUUCUUAGAUUCUUUGAAGAUGAACUGUAGCGAAAGCGUUUAACAAGGAUGCUCCCA